CAGUCGCCGCGGUAAUACGUAGGUGGCAAGCGUUGUCCGGAAUUAUUGGGCGUAAAGCGUGCGCAGGCGGUUGUGUAAGACAGGUGUGAAACCCCCGGGCUUAACCUGGGAACUGCGCUUGUGACUGCACAGCUAGAGUAUGGCAGAGGGGGGUGGAAUUCAAUGUGUAGCAGUGAAAUGCGUAGAGAUGUGGAGGAACACCGAUGGCGAAGGCAGCCCCCUGGGCCAAUACUGACGCUCAUGCACGAAAGCGUGGGGAGCAAACAGGAUUAGAUACCCCCGUAGUCCCUGUCUCUUAUAC
Molecule: ribosomal RNA, 301 nt
Filed under: uncultured bacterium
Lineage: Bacteria
Description: partial 16S ribosomal RNA
Rfam family: Bacterial small subunit ribosomal RNA
Source: RNAcentral